AGGCGAGGUCAUAGAAGUUUCACACAAAUUUCUUGUCAUACAGAGACUUUUGGUGCUCGAGUGUGAUGAUGCGGUCUUUCAUGGAGAUUCCUAUGGGAGUGGCAAUUAUUUGUUGAAGGAACCAAUCUAUAUUUAUUUCCUGUGUUUUUCAAAGAAACAUAUUCAUACCUGGCUUUGGGGACAAGAUUUCCAAAAAGUAUUUAUUUGACAGACAGAGAGAGAGCGAGCACAAGAAGG
Leptonychotes weddellii (Weddell seal) is the source of this 237-nucleotide non-coding RNA. The record is from RefSeq and is a predicted model, not a curated record. Lineage: Eukaryota; Metazoa; Chordata; Mammalia; Carnivora; Phocidae.